GGCGAGUGAAGAGGUAAAAGCCCAAGAUGUUAAUCUGCAUUGAAGAUGUAGAAUUGUAAUCUAUAGAAUUUCUCAGAGGGGGAGGCUUGCCAUAAGUUCUUUGGAACAAGGCACCAUAGAGGGUGAAAGUCCCGUCUUUGGGUGAGCCGAACCGUAUGAGGGGUUUCUAAGAGUCGGGUAGUUUGGGAAUGCUGCCCUAAGCGGGAGAUAAACUUCUCCUAAGGCUAAAUAUAAGAUAGGAGACCGAUAGCAUACAAGUUCUGCGAAGGA
Molecule: ribosomal RNA, 270 nt
Filed under: uncultured Peritrichia
Lineage: Eukaryota; Ciliophora; Oligohymenophorea
Description: partial 28S ribosomal RNA
Rfam family: Eukaryotic large subunit ribosomal RNA
Source: RNAcentral